GAUGAACGCUAGCUACAGGCUUAACACAUGCAAGUCGAGGGGAAACGAUAGAGAAAGCUUGCUUUUUCUAGGCGUCGACCGGCGCACGGGUGAGUAACGCGUAUCCAACCUGCCCAUCACUUGGGGAUAACCUUGCGAAAGUAAGACUAAUACCCAAUGACGUCUCUAGAAGACAUCUGAAAGAGAUUAAAGAUUUAUCGGUGAUGGAUGGGGAUGCGUCUGAUUAGCUUGUUGGCGGGGUAACGGCCCACCAAGGCGACGAUCAGUAGGGGUUCUGAGAGGAAGGUCCCCCACAUUGGAACUAAGACACGGUCCAAACUCCUACGGGAGGCAGCAGUGAGGAAUAUUGGUCAUUGGGCGAGAGCCUUAACCAGCCAAGUAGCGUGCAGGAUGACGGCCCUAUGGGUUGUAAACUGCUUUUAUAAGGGAAUAAAGUGAGUCUCGUGAGACUUUUUGCAUGUACCUUAUGAAUAAGGACCGGCUAAUUCCGUGCCAGCCGCCGCAGUAA
Molecule: ribosomal RNA, 508 nt
Filed under: uncultured bacterium
Lineage: Bacteria
Description: partial 16S ribosomal RNA
Rfam family: Bacterial small subunit ribosomal RNA
Source: RNAcentral